UGUCUUCGAACCAAUUUUUCAUACCACCAAUACUAAUUAAUCACAAAAUUACAAUUACAAAUAAAAACAAUAGAAACGUGAUUUCACUAACAAACAAAUUGAAUUUCUAAUUACACCAAAACCAAUCAUUUCAAUUUCUUUCUUUCACCCCCUUACGGCGAAGCCCCCCACAAAACCUCCGCAGAAAUGGUGGCGGCCUCCGCGUCGGAAACGGAGGCCUCCCUCACUUUCACCAAUAUCUGCUGCUUAAACGCCCUCCUCUCCCGCUGCCUCAGCCCCUCCCCCACCUCUAACUGCACCGCGAACCUCGCCGCGCAGCUCGCAAACGGGUGGCUCUCCAAGAACCCCUUCUCCCUGCUCUCCCUCAUCAAAUCGCCGCCGUGCUCCGACCUCUGCAACUCCAUAAGCUUCUCAAUCAACGCCUCCUCUAGCAUCGCAUCAACGGCCUCCUUCCGCCCGAAGUACCCGAUUUCGAGCACGCAGACCAUCGCCAUCACUCGCAUUUCCAAAUCUUCUGAAUUCAGGAAGCUUAUGAUCUUGGGUAUUUCUCCGUUGAACUCGAUCUCAUCGACGAGCGGCGAUUUGAUCAGCCUGACGAGCGCGCAGAGCACUCUGAUCGCGUCCGGUGACGCCAUUUUUAUCAGAGAGCUAAUCGUCGGCCGACCCAUCAAAACUUGACCCACGAAAACAUCUUUAUUGAACUUGAUGAGAGCUGCAAUGGCGAAAGCAGAGCGUUCUCUGACUCGCUUCGAUGACCGAGUCGAUUCGCACAGAACUGACUCAAGCGAGGUGAAAACUUUGGACUUCAAGAUCAAAUCCUGCAACUCGCGGUUGAACCCCUGCGCGACUCUGUCCUCGAACUGAGUCAGUAGCUUGAUCAAAUCAUCCUCGUCGCGAAUUGGGUCUUCUUCCAGAGCUCGCGUCAAGCUUUCUAAGCUCUCGCGGUCGAUCCACGCUUGAAUUUCGGACUCAAUCGACCCGGCGAGUUUGGAGAGGCAGUGAGUCGAUGAGCGGCGGGUCAGGAAGGAGCGGAUGCUGAGGUGGCCGCUGGACUGGCGGAGGGACUCUACGAGGGUUUUGAGGGUGGCGAGGUGUUUGGAGAGGGCGGAGAGUUGUGGGUCCCGGGAGAGGAUGUUGUCGGACUCGGUCUCGAGCUCGAGGAGGGCGUUAAUGGCGGAGGAUGAGUUUGACUCGGGCGAAUCGGGACUAGGGUGGGUCUGUAGCUCGUGGGAGGCUUGUUUUAGAGCUUCUAGGACCUUGAGGACUCGUGGGCCGUCUUCCUUUUGAUGGAGCUUGACCUCCAUGGCCAUGGAGAUCAGAAGCCGUCGUGAUUUUCUGAUGAAGAGGAUUUGAGUUUUUUUUAAGAAGUGGGAGAUUAAAUAGAAUAGAGAGAGAGAGAGAUCCAAUUUUGAAAUGAAAUUAAAAUAAAUAAAAAGGAAUUUUCUUGUCACAACUCAACGACCAGUUUAUCUCUAGCUAUAUGCAUGGCAUGCCAAAGCCAAACAUUCUUUUUCAAGAGAGAUUUUUUAGUGUAAUCAGAACAUGAGUACAUACGUCAAUUAAAGAGGUACGAGAAAUUUAUUAGUAUACCGGAAAAACACGAUUCAGUAUAUCAAAUGUUCUAAUAAAAAUGGUUGAAAAUUAUGUUUUUUAAAUGUCAAACCACUUAUAUUAUGAUAUUUGAUAUAUUCAGUUUAAUGAAAAAUCUCUCGAGGGGCACUCGAGAAAAAUAACCUCUUCUUCUUAUAUAAUAACAUAGGAUUACCACCUCAUGCUUCGAC
RNAcentral lists this long non-coding RNA (1781 nucleotides) under Malus domestica (apple). RNAcentral's name for it is "long non-coding RNA (MDOM_LNC001296)". Lineage: Eukaryota; Viridiplantae; Streptophyta; Magnoliopsida; Rosales; Rosaceae. The record is from RNAcentral.